GAGCAAGGGCGUCUUUGAUUAUAAUGGCGUGAAUUGCAUUGAAGGUUGGCAAUACUAACGUUUAGCGAUUCUCCGUGCCUGGCAAAUCUUUUGGUUUUGAUCAUGGCCUCGAACAAGUCGCUACAUU
Molecule: small nucleolar RNA, 127 nt
Filed under: Cucumis melo (muskmelon)
Lineage: Eukaryota; Viridiplantae; Streptophyta; Magnoliopsida; Cucurbitales; Cucurbitaceae
Also listed under: 1 other name
Source: RNAcentral